GAUUAAUGUCGGCAGUGUGCCUAACACAUGCAAGUCGAACGCCCCGCAAGGGGAGUGGCAGACGGGUGAGUAACGCGUGGGAAUCUACCCAUCCCUACGGAAUAACGCAUGGAAACGUGUGCUAAUACCGUAUACGCCCUACGGGGGAAAGAUUUAUCGGGGAUGGAUGGGCCCGCGUCUGAUUAGCUAGUUGGUGAGGUAAAGGCUCACCAAGGCGACGAUCAGUAGCUGGUCUGAGAGGAUGAUCAGCCACAUUGGGACUGAGACACGGCCCAAACUCCUACGGGAGGCAGCAGUGGGGAAUCUUGCGCAAUGGGCGAAAGCCUGACGCAGCCAUGCCGCGUGAAUGAUGAAGGUCUUAGGGUUGUAAAAUUCUUUCACCGGGGACGAUAAUGACGGUACCCGGAGAAGAAGCCCCGGCUAACUUCGUGCCAGCCGCCGCGGUAA
This 447-nucleotide ribosomal RNA is filed under the name uncultured bacterium. Its description in RNAcentral is "partial 16S ribosomal RNA". It matches the Rfam family "Bacterial small subunit ribosomal RNA", at positions 28 to 523 of the family's 1533-position model. The record is from RNAcentral.